Long non-coding RNA from Nilaparvata lugens (brown planthopper), 3872 nucleotides. RefSeq lists it as uncharacterized. The transcript is spliced from 3 exons. The record is from RefSeq and is a predicted model, not a curated record. Lineage: Eukaryota; Metazoa; Arthropoda; Insecta; Hemiptera; Delphacidae.
AUGUUAGUGCACGGAGCUUUUCCUUUGUUUUCCCUUUGAAUAGUUUUAGUUUUGAUCUUUCGUUCUUUCUCUCUUACGUUCUAGCUUUAUAAUAAGUUAUAGGUACAUACAUAUAGGUCCACAUUUUUAUUAUAAGGCAAGAGGAACAUCACCAGCAUGUUUCAAUUUUCAAUGCGAGAACUGUGAUGCCAUAAUGGCAGAAGCCACUUUCUUGUCUACAUCUCAAAUAAUAGAAAUUGCACGGGCGUGAAAUCUACGUACAGCAGUGAUGAGAUUCUGGAAUUCCAUUGUCUGCAAUGUCUACUCCUAAUCUCCUAUAAUUGAAGAGCAGAUGAAAGAAGCUGUAGUUUUGCAAAAUUUCAUGUUCGAUGAUGAUGCUGAUGAUUAUGAGAAUUCUCAAUUUCAACAACCUCCGGCCACUUCCUCCUUCAACGAUAAACUGUCGGUUCCUGCUGCCUAGAACCAUAUAUAAAGGAUAAUAUUUAUAUUUCUUGUCUCUACUAGAACGUAGUGGUCAUUUUAUAAUCACUCCUUCCAUUACCAACACACAAGCCAAGGGCUCAUGUGGGUAUCACACUCCAAAAAUAAUACUUCGACACUGCAGUAUUUCAGCACUUGUUUAUAACAAUGACGAUUUUCUAAGAGAAGAAUAGUUUGAAAAAAAUCCUAGUAUAGCAUAAAAUAACACCAAACAUAUUUUUUGCAGGCUUCAAAUAGAUUGAAUUAAGUUAUUUUCAAUGAGAGCAUUUAUUCAAAGGAGAGGAGCACAGAGGUGCGUGAAGCUACCUCGUUGUGAAGAGCAGACCGUUGGGUGUGUACUUCAGCGACUCGAGUGACAGUUUGUAUUGUAGCUCACAGGACUCUAAUAUUUUGUUAUUGACCAAGGAGCUCAGCAAAUCUGACAAUGAGUGUACUGAGGCUACAGACCGUUAGGUGUGUCUCAUAACCCCCCAUGGGCAAUUCUCCUGACGAAUAAUGUUGUAGAAAUUCACUUAGACCGCGGGACUAUAUUUUAUUAUAGAACUAUUGGACUAUUGUGAAUUUCAACAUUUCUACAUGAAAAUAAUCUUUCUUCACUUGGAGCCUACAAAUUAAAAUGAGUUACAUAUUUAAAUUCAAGUGCAAUUAUAUUCUCUUUUCCAUAGUUAAUGUCUUGUUUAGAAUUCACAAUAAUUUUAUUCCACCGAAAUAUAUAUUUAUAUUAAUUCUAAACAUAAAUAAAUUUUAAUAUUCAUAUAUAAUAUUACUCAUAAUAACCAAUAUGAGAGAAAUGUAGAUUCAAUUAUAUAUUUUCAAUUCUAAACAUCCAAAAUCAAAACGGAGUUUUCAUCAGUCAAAAGCUUGUCAGUUUUAUUUUUUAUAAUAAUAGUUUACAACAUACAAUAUAAUUAUGGUAGUAUUUCAGUCGAAAUUCUGAAUGUGAAUGUGAAACUUGUUGCUUCCUUUUUCAAUAGAAGAAUACUAUCAAUUAUUAUUAUUUAUAAUAUUAGAAUUAUGAAUAAUAAUAAAUCUUAAACAUUUUAUCGAAUAAAUUGAAAUUAAUGGGGUUUAUUAAAAUUUAUUUUCAUUGGUGUCAACGUUCUAAAAAUAAAGGUGGACCAAUAACGGUAUUGUCAGUUCCACAUAAUUUAUUUUAGCCGAACUUGAAGUUUCAAUGCACUAGGGCAUCAUCUUCAGUGGUAUUUUUCUCAAAGAAUGAUCUAAGAUGGUCUCUAUCUAAAAGACCACUCACUGAAGAUGAUGCCUUGAAACUCAAGUUUGGCUCAAAUAAAUUAUGUGAAACGGACAAUAUCGUUUUUAUUCCACCUCAAUAUGGAGAAAUUCCACAAUAUCUCUGUUCAUAGUGUAUAAAAGAUGUUUUAAUGUUUACAUGAGUAUAAUUAAUUGUAGAUUUAAGUGAAAUUUUUAAUAUUUUUGGCGAUUGUGAAGGAAGAUUUUUGUUUUGAUUUGUAUUUUGAAGUUAAUUAAUCUGAUAAAUUCAAAAUUGUAGAAGAUACAUUUUUUUGGACUCAAAAUAGUGUGUGAAUUAAGUUAUAAUUUUUACAAAACCUCUAGACUAUGUAUUCCAAAUUGAGGUUUAGAGCAGUUUUGGGCGAAUGCCUGUUUUUUUACCUGGAUUGUAUUUGUAUAUGAAUAAAUAAAUAAGUUCUAAAAAUAGGUCAAGAAUUUCAUUUUUAUAGUUGCAUACUGUAUUUUUCAUACACAUUCAUGGCAAGGCACACUAAAUUAUUGAUUUGUACUUGUGUAUUUUACCUAGUCAGAAAUAUUAUAUUGACUUCAAUCUGAUUUGCCAAAGGAAAAAUGUAUAAUGUAAUUUUGUCUAUUGUCAAUCUAUUUUGAAUAGAUUAUUAGACUAGUUGACUACUAAAUCAAGUCUUUGUUGCAAAGUGUUUUUCUAAAGUUUGUAAAUCUUAUAAGUGUGUUGACAUUACUGAAAUUUUCUUUCUAAAUUCAGACUGGCAAAAUUGUCCAAAUAUAUUUUGAAUAUAAGCUAACAUCAGACGGGAGCUACCGUACCUAAUUUCUUAUACCAAUAAUUGACAUGCCUGUCCGUAACUACUACUAGCAUACCGGUACUUAAACUCACAUGAAGUGUUUCAUCUAUAAGAUAGUUUUCAAAUACCGUAUCCGUAGCAGUUUGCUACCAAUACCUAUAUUUUCGAAAUUUAUAAUUUACCGAGAUGAGUUGUCAUGAGAAAUUUUUGUAAAAGGCAAAUUUAUUCAUGUCAAAUCAAAUGUUUUGUUUUUCAUUUUUAUAUUUUAUUCAUCUUCUUUAAUUCCAAUAUUCGAUAUUUUUUACAUCUAGGCCUGAAUCUACCAUCAUUAUUAUCUAUAAGGCUUAAAUUAUAAUAGGGCAAAUUAUCUGCAAUAAAAAAUGAGCAAUUCUUGAGAGGUAAAAAAUCGUAUAAGAUUGUGCAUUUCGAAAAAAAUGACUAAGGUUGUCGGAUAAACUUUUAUCAUACAACUUGUCUUUUGGCUGAUUCAUGUGCCUUUCUUGAAAUUGCCUUUGUUGUUUGAUGACAAUAAAUUCCAUCCACUUAUUAUUUAUCACUUAUUGAUUGAUUUCGUUCCAGUGGUAAGACAAAAAUGUGCACGUUAAUACCCUCUAUUCCCUAAUUUCACUUCUGUUUUGAUUUUUACUGUUAGGUUUGCAUUUGAUUUUCCAACAGUUAGUAACUGGAUUCUACAAAUUAUUUUUGUCUUUUUCAAACCCCUGCCAUUUGCUUAUCAUGUUUAAAAUCUAGUUGUUUGAUUUAUCAUCGGAGAUGUCUAUGAUUAUUUUCUGCAUUUAUGUGAUCCAGUUUUCACUAUCUCUCCAUUAAGAUAAAUCCACGUUUUUGUAUUGAUGAAUAAUAUUUUUCUGAUUGUUCUAUGUAUUGAGCUAAUAUAGGUUCUCAACCAGAAAAAAGAUGUUUCCUGUUUAGCUCUAUGUAUCUAUAUUAGUAUUUUUCAAUCUAUAAUUCAUUGCUAUUGUUGGGCUAGGCAUACGCCUGCAUGUUUUAUAUCAUUAAAAAAUGUUCUUUACAAGGCCCAUUCAAUGCUUUAGAGAGUCUGAUGGCGGAUGCCGUUAUCCUGUUUCAUAAAAACUAAUAACGUUUGCAUUGGUGUUGAAUUCUAGCUAUUGAAUGAAAAAAUUCUUCCUUUUUCUGAAUAGAAUGGUCUUUGUGAAAAUAAUUUUUCCUAUAUAACCUAUAUACUCCUAUAUAAGUAAGAUUACUUCACAGAAACAUUUCCAACAAACAAAUGAAAAUGAAAAACUCGCUUUCCACUAUUUCAAUGAUUUUGAUUUGAUCUAAAAUAUCACUAUAAAAUGAUUAUAUACUUUAUGAUUUUGUUUUCUUAGUAGAAUAAUAAAAAAUCUGUUAUGAUUA